AAUGAAGCAGCUUUUCAGGUUCACAGGCACUGUGGGCUCGCUUGCUCUCCUUAAAUAGCCAAGCCUCCCUCCUGCAGCUACAAGAAAUCUACCUGGAGCACCUUCCACGACUGGCUCACAGGCUGCCUGCUUCCUGUUCUUUCCCUCCUGGGUCCUCUGUGAGAGCCACACCAUGAAUGGCCUGGAGGCAGCCCUCCCAAGUCUGCCGGACAACUCCUCCCUGGCUUACACUGAGCAAUGUGGACAGGAGACCCCCCUCGAGAACAUGCUUUUCGCUUGCUUCUACCUUCUGGAUUUCAUCCUAGCUUUUGUGGGCAAUUCUCUGGCCCUGUGGCUCUUCAUAUGGGACCAGAAGUCAGGGACCCCGGCCAACGUGUUCCUGAUGCACCUGGCGGUGGCCGACUUGUCCUGUGUACUGGUCCUGCCCACUCGGCUGGUUUAUCACUUCUCUGGGAAUCACUGGCCAUUCGGGGAAAUCCCGUGCCGACUCACUGGCUUCCUCUUCUACCUCAAUAUGUAUGCCAGCAUCUACUUCCUCACCUGCAUCAGCGCUGAUCGCUUCCUGGCCAUCGUGCACCCUGUCAAGUCCCUCAAGCUUCGGCGACCUCUCUAUGCCCACCUGGCCUGUGCCUUCCUGUGGGUGGUGGUGGCUGUGGCUAUGGCCCCACUGCUAGUCAGCCCACAGACUGUGCAGACCAACCACACGGUUGUCUGCCUGCAACUGUACCGGGAGAAAGCCUCCCACCACGCCCUGGCAUCCCUGGCUGUGGCUUUCACCUUCCCCUUCAUCACCACAGUCACCUGCUACCUGCUGAUCAUUCGCAGCCUGCGCCAGGGUCCCCGCAUAGAGAAGCAUCUCAAGAACAAAGCCGUCCGCAUGAUCGCUAUGGUUCUGGCCAUCUUCCUCAUCUGUUUUGUGCCCUACCACGUCCACCGUUCUGUUUAUGUGCUUCACUACCGUGGCGGGGGGACUUCAUGCACCGCUCAGCGUGCCCUGGCCCUAGGCAACCGGAUCACCUCCUGUCUCACCAGCCUCAAUGGGGCCCUGGACCCUGUCAUGUACUUCUUCGUUGCUGAGAAGUUCCGCCAUGCCUUGUGCAACUUGCUCUGCAGCAAACGGCUCACGGGCCCCCCUCCCAGCUUUGAAGGAAAGACCAACGAGAGCUCCCUGAGUGCCCGAUCUGAGCUGUGAGCCCUGAGCUGUAAGCCUCCAGGAUGUCUUGUCCCUAGGCCAGCUGUCAGAGAACCAGCUCUCCACUGGGGCACAUGCUGCCAGGGCUAGCUAAAGACCUCUGUCUUCCCUCGCCUCUUCCUGAGCAAACCAACUGAAAUGUCAGCAGUUCGUGCCCGGCUCCAAGGUCUUCACUGCAAGGCCAUCCAGUCUGAGCAAAGGCAUCAAGAGGGAGGGCCAACUAGCUAAGUACAGGAUGCCCUGCCCACCCUUCCACAGGGACUCGGUUGGCCUGCCUUAUUUACAGCUCCCAGACAUCCAGUGACUUCACUGGUGCUAAAUAGAGAAGAGCCACAGGGACAUUUCUGGAACAAUGGGAAUCUUUCUUCCCCACUAAACUGUCAGCUUCUUUCAUAUACAGAUACCCACAGCAACAAAGCCCUACAGAAUAACCCAGAAAACAAGCUGCCCAGGACCCAGAAAAAGAGGCAGCACAAAUCUCAAUGGAACACGAGGGGUGUCGGAUACUUCCUUUGAAGUGCAUGGUAUAUCGUGUAUCCCUUGCCAGCCUUGGGAGAUGACCUCUUUCUGAGUUUAGGGGACACAGACUCUAUGUGAGCCACACAUGAGUACAUUUCAGACUGGUGGUGUGUGAGCCCAGCAAACACAGCUCGGGACUCUCCUGCUAGAACCAUGUUCCCAUGCCUGCCUCUAGCCUGACAGUGUCUAGAGUUUCUCAGUAGAAGGUGGCCUGGUCAGGCAUAUCGCAUAGAUGGACAGCCAUUAGAGCCCGCUAGAGGCAGGAGCCCGGUGUGUGAACCUGUCUCCAUCUCACUCAAGCCCAGAAGGGGCUUCCCCACUCCCUCCCAAGAGGCUUCUACCAGCCUCAGCUGCCUGGCUUUGAACUGUUGAACUUGUCAGCAUGUGUUGGACACUCUAAUGUAUCCUCUUUUCUUUUUUGUACUUGUUUGUAUUACUCUUAAACAUAAUCGAGCCUUAAGGUGAAGGAAAUCAUUGUACUAGUUCAACAUGACACAUAUGUCCUCCCCUGGGAUUCUCUCCCCUUCCACCCGAGAAUGACCAAGCAAGGCCUUUAUUGUGGUUCUGGUGGCCCAGGAAGACCUGAAGCUAUGCAUCAUGGAGCUCCACAUGCCAUUCUAGGUUAGAAGGGCUCUCAGACUUAACCCUACAAACGCCAUCAAUAGAAAACCCUAUAUUUCUCUAUUACAUUUUAUCUUUCAAAGCAUGGGGUGGUGGCCCGUGCAUGGCUCAUCCCAGAAAGAGCACAGCCCAGACUGAUGCCCCUGAUGCCCAGCAUUGCUUCUCACCAGUACAGGUCUGUUCACCAUUGUGGUCCCUUAUCAAGGCAGCCUGCUGAAUACAAUACCAUACCAGCCUUUCAGAUGCCAGGACCAGCGAGAGGUCAUGUGCCUCUUCAGUGGCAUAGCAAAGGGACAAGAUCACUGUAGGCUGAGACAAAGUGACAGAGGGGCUUUGACGGAGAACCAAGUACCCAGACAGGAAGGGCAUUCAUGCGGGAAGCUGGCGGGUCUCUGGAAUGCCUUUUCUGGCACAGGGCACGCAGAAGCAGACUUGGAUCAGAGGAGGAGAAUGUUGCAGCUCUAUUUGGGUCCUGUUGUGUUGGAAUCUCGAAUGGAGAUGCCACACAGGCAGGGGCAGUGAGCAAAGGAGAGACCUGGAGGAGGCCCUUGGAUUGUCCAGAUGUGCCAUUGGGAGACACAAAACUUCAUCUUCAAGGGCAGGUGCUGUCACCAGCUCUUACCACAGAAUCCGCAGCAUGGAGCAAACAGCAUUUGGAAGUCAUGUUCACAGUACUUCCGGCCCUCAAACUGCAAACGGGACCACAGACAAAAGACGAGCAAGUCAUUCAUCAUCCCUGUAAUCCCUUGUCCCUAAUAAAUAACAGUGGCCUGGGGUCUGAAGAAGAGAGCCUUCUAGAGCUAGCUGGAGCAGGGGACUAGCCAUGCAGUUUAGCAGAGUGCAAAGUGAGGGUUUCUCAGAGAUGCUGAGGGUCCACGGUCAGCUCUUGGGGAUUCUGCUAUCUGCUGAGGACCCGAGGAUCCUGACAAUAGGCCAAGCUGAGGUGGGAGCUGGGGCUGGGGAAGAACGGGUCGAAUCUGAGUUCCAUGUGCCACUUUGUCCUGCAUGUCUGACCAGAUCAGUGUCCCCAGAAACUGCAGAAGACCCAUGGAAGGAAGAGGGGAGAAAGAGCACAGGAGGGCCUGGGGGACUGGCCUGACAAAGCAAAGCCCCCGAGUGCUGCGGUCAGCCACUGUCAUGUAUUGUCCCAAGCAUGACCAAAGCUUGUCUCUGCUUUCCGUUCCCUUAACAAUUUGCUUUCUUUAAAAAAAAAAAAAUUGAGGGCUGUAGCUCGGUUUGUAGGAAGCCCUUGUUUUGGGUCACAGUUUCGGGUGUGGCAGUGCCCUUGGGAGAUAGAGGCAGGAGGCAGCAGAAGUUCAAAGUCAUCCUCCGUAAGUUUCUUCUUCUAAAGCAACACGCAGCUCUCCCCAGUGAGCCAGAGAGGCUACAGAGGCUUGAAUUUCCUCAGCGCCAAUAUCUCCCAAACACCCACUAUGUGCUUUGCUUGGCUCUGGUCUAAAACCUCUCAGAGAGAUCUCCCCAGCCCUCUGCUGCCUCUACAGCCAGCCAGCGUUUCUCGGGAGCCUGGAGAGCAACAGGAGAUUUUCAUCUGGCAUGCGGACCACAUACCCACAUCAGUCAACCAAUGAUGCCCAGCUCCCUGCCCCCACAAGAAACACAGCCCUCUCUGAGCUCUGGUCCUGCCCCCCUCCACUGCAGCCCAGUGGAGCAGUGCAGUAAGUGUUUAACCAACUCUGGCAGAAGGCAACAGAGGCCCUGACUCUGGGUCUGCCAGAUGCUGUGGUAUAGAUCUUACUGCCAGGCUAGUACCAUGCCGACGUCACAAAUAGCACCACAUCGGUAGAAAUAAUUUCAGAUGCAUACAUGACAUGAAAGUCUAAUGAAAUAAUGAGAAGUAGGACAUUUUAUGUGUUUGUUAUCUUCAUUUUUAAUAAAGUACUAUAACCCUG
Molecule: RNA transcript, 4242 nt
Organism: Chionomys nivalis (European snow vole)
Lineage: Eukaryota; Metazoa; Chordata; Mammalia; Rodentia; Cricetidae
Gene: Gpr17
Gene name: G protein-coupled receptor 17
Exons: 3
Source: RefSeq, a predicted model, not a curated record